UGCCAGCAGCCGCGGUAAUACGGAGGGUGCAAGCGUUAAUCGGAAUCACUGGGCUUAAAGGGUACGUAGGCGGAUGUGUAGGUGUCUUGUGAAAUCCCUCGGCUUAACCGGGGAACUGCAGGGCAAACCACAUGUCUUGAGGCAGGUAGAGGUCGUCGGAACGAUAGGUGGAGCGGUGAAAUGCGUAGAUAUCUAUCGGAACGCCAACGGUGAAGACAGACGACUGGGCCUGUUCUGACGCUGAGGUACGAAAGCGUGGGGAGCGAACGGGAUUAGAUA
This 279-nucleotide ribosomal RNA is filed under the name uncultured bacterium. RNAcentral's name for it is "partial 16S ribosomal RNA". It matches the Rfam family "Bacterial small subunit ribosomal RNA", at positions 506 to 784 of the family's 1533-position model. The record is from RNAcentral.